UCCCGCCGGACCUGACUGCUAUCGGAUUGAUACUAAGCCAUGCGAGUCUUUGUAGUAAUACAAGGCAUACGGCUCAGUAACACGUAGUCAACCUACCCUAUGGACGAGAAUAAUCUCGGGAAACUGAGCAUAAUUCUUGAUAGAUCAUAAUGCCUGGAAUGGUUUAUGAUUAAAAUGAUUCGUCGCCCUAGGAUGGGACUGCGGCCUAUCAGCUUGUUGGUGAGGUAAUGGCCCACCAAGGCGAUUACAGGUACGGGCUCUGAGAGGAGAAGCCCGGAGAUGGGUACUGAGACACGGACCCAGGCCCUAUGGGGCGCAGCAGGCGAGAAAACUUUGCAAUGUGCGAAAGCACGACAAGGUUAAUCCGAGUGUUUUCUGCUAAAGAAAUCUUUUGCUAGUCGUAAAACCACUGGUGAAUAAGGGGUGGGCAAGUUCUGGUGUCAGCCGCCGCGGUAAAACCAGCACCUCAAGUGGUCAGGAUGAUUAUUGGGCCUAAAGCAUCCGUAGCCUGCUUUGUAAGUUUUCGGUUAAAUCCAUGUGCUCAACGCAUGGGCUGCCGAAAAUACUGCAUAGCUAGGGAGUGGGAGAGGUAGACGGUACUCAGUAGGUAGGGGUAAAAUCCUUUGAUCUAUUGAUGACCACCUGUGGCGAAGGCGGUCUACCAGAACACGUUCGACGGUGAGGGAUGAAAGCUGGGGGAGCAAACCGGAUUAGAUACCCGGGUAGUCCCAGCUGUAAACGAUGCAGACUCGAUGAUGCAUUGGCAUAAUAGCCAUUGCAGUGUCGCAGGGAAGCCGUUAAGUCUGCCGCCUGGGAAGUACGUACGCAAGUAUGAAACUUA
Molecule: ribosomal RNA, 841 nt
Filed under: uncultured marine group I thaumarchaeote
Lineage: Archaea; Thermoproteati; Nitrososphaerota
Description: SSU rRNA
Rfam family: Archaeal small subunit ribosomal RNA
Source: RNAcentral